CAUGGCCAUAAGAGAAGUUAAUCGACCCAGCUUGAAGAGAGUGAGCAGGCGCGAAGAUAAAAUAGGGUUUAUGGUGGCCAUUUUUGUCCGUUUCAAGCAAGUGGAGAUGAAGAGAAGAAGAUUGUGGCCAUCGCUACGAAGCAUUGACGGCGGUGAGAGGGAGAGAACGGGAGAGGAUGGAAGACGACACGUAUAUCAAGAGCCGGUGCUUCUUCCUCUUAAUUAAGCUCUGUUGCUUUAAGGUAAUUGUGACUUUUCUUUUUUUUUAAUUACAAAAAAACCUAAGCACCCCACUUAAGCACUUCCGUUCAUGUUGCUCUUAUUUGCAUGGACUGUUUCAACUAACAUUGGAAAAUGUUUUUUUUUCUUCCCUUCUAAUACUGUAUAUAGAUACUGGAUAAACGAUGUAAAACAAAGAUCAAAUUCUUCUCAAAAUCCAACUAAAAUAAUAAUAAAAACAAAUUAUGUAACUAAAUUUAAAUAUAAACCAUGUGCAAAAUUUAAAAUACAAAAUUAUGUUAAUUCGGACGCCAAAAGAAACUUAGACAUUAAUAUGGGUUUAGGCGGCAGAACAACGAGAGUGAAACCUUUCAAUUCUAAAGGUUGAAGAUUUUAUACCCAUAUUACAAAAAUGAUUAGAAAAAGAACCUAACAUCAGAUAAUUGUUUUCCUAAACCAUAAAGGAAGAGCAAUCUUCUAUCUAUCUAUACUAAUAAAAGAGACUUUUCUCUCUUUUACUGCUGCCGCAUCAUCCAUGGCGGGGGGGGGGCAAAAGAUGACACGUGUCUGCCUUUGGUUUCAAUUCUUUCUCCUAUUUUUCGGCUACGAAACUUAAUAAUCGCGGGCUCCAAUAUAUUUACGGUCUAUUGCAUGUUUCGUAUAAUGAGCCAUUCAGACGGUUAGCACUAUUAGCCCACUCUACCCCAUUUGUUUCGUAAGUGGAUAUAAGCCCCUUUUUUGACCUUUCAAUGUUUACAACUGGGCCCAACAGGAGCAACCCCACUCCAGUGACAGUCGUCCUCUCCAAACCCUAACUUCUGAUUUUCCAUCUGAGAGAAGAGCAGAGUAACACAUGCGACUCCCUUUAAGAGGUUGCCAUUAACCUUCACAUUCAUUCUCAUUUACGCGACAACCCACUAAGUCUCAUUAAUUUCCCAUGACCGCCCUCUUCAGCUUCUCCGCAAUCUCUCACCUAUAAAAAGGCAUCUCAACACACAGGCACUAACCUUUACCGGCAAUUGUGACCUCCCAGCUAUCGCUCUCCUAAAAAAAAAAUGGUAAGCUUUCUCACGAUUGGUGGCGGAGGAAACCUAGGACUUUAGGAGGGAUAACAACAGGUGAUGCCUUCACCUAUCUCAAAGCUGUUAUAGGAUAUCUUUCAAGACAAGAAAGACAAUUUAGUUGCCACUAAUGGCGUCAUAGCAAGAGUAAGAGAGUUGUUCAAGGGCUAUGACGACUUGCUUUCGGGGUUUAAUACUUUCUUGCCCAAGGGAUACAAAAUAACCCUUUCGUAGAAGAAGGCAGUGGAUCUCGGAGAAGCUACCGAUCAGGAUGCGCUUUGGGAGCGAUAACCGUGCAUAUAAGAAGUUUCUAGACAUCUUUAACAUGUAUAGAGGGGAAAUCAGUCUAUCUCUGAUGUAUAACAAGAUGGUGUGUUUACAGUUGAUCAGGUUCUUCUUAUUACUCUCUCUCCGGAAGGAAUAACUACCAGGUGAUAAGAGUUCUCCAGAUCCUGCCAUGCAUCCAAGGAAUUUUGAGAAGUUCUACUCCUAGAUUAUUCUUUCUAAAACAUGCUCAUAUCUUUGUUAAUAAGAUGACGAAAUAUAGUGUGAAAACUGAUUUCUCAAUAUAAUAAGUUGCCAUAAAGAAACUUUAUAUA
Molecule: long non-coding RNA, 1879 nt
Organism: Brassica napus (rape)
Lineage: Eukaryota; Viridiplantae; Streptophyta; Magnoliopsida; Brassicales; Brassicaceae
Exons: 4
Source: RefSeq, a predicted model, not a curated record